Long non-coding RNA from Passer domesticus (house sparrow), 931 nucleotides. RefSeq lists it as uncharacterized. The transcript is spliced from 3 exons. NCBI's taxonomy places the organism in Eukaryota, Metazoa, Chordata, Aves, Passeriformes, Passeridae. The record is from RefSeq and is a predicted model, not a curated record.
CGCGGCCCGGCCCGCCCGGAGCCGCCGUGUGCUGAUGGCUCUGCAAACAAUUCCAGGGCUGAGGGCACGGGUGCCAACGCCUUGGAAAGGCGUCUUAAGGUCUCCACCAACUUCUAGCCACGGGUUUGUUACAGAGCCCAGUCUGAGUGUGAAACUGGCAAAUGGCUCGGCGCAAGCCUGAGUUUCCCAACUCUGGGGGAAAUGACAGAAACCUGGAGAGAGGAAACCCUGCGGCCGUGCUCUCUCUCCCUUUAUGGGAAUGAAGUUGCAGGUGUAUGGAAAAUCACACUGUGAAAAGGCAGACUGUCCGGGUUCUGUAACAAACCUGUGGCUUCAAGUUGGUAGAGACAUUGGCAUUGAGAAUGUCAAUUUCAGAGACAUGAACACCCAUCCCCUCACCCAUGGAAUUGUUUGUAAAGACAUAAGCACGCAUCUUUCCUGUCAUCAGCACACAAAGCAAGCAGCGCCCAGGGCUGGGAACGGCCCUCAUGCGAAAGGAGAGCUCUGCAACCUCCAGAAGAAGCAGAUACCAGCACAGAAAACAGAGGUGGUCUCAUACACUGAUAAAAACCACUAAAGCUUGACCAGCAAAGGCACAGGUAACUGGAAAGAUUUUAAGAUGCUUCACCUGAAGACAUCCCACAAAUGUCCCAAUACAAAUACACAGCAUUUUCAAAAGGCUCCUGAAGGAUGCAGAGCCCAGCUCAUGCAUCUGAGUGGGAAGGGGGGGAUAAAUGCCCAGUUUCCUGUAAAUUAAUUCCUCCUCCUCAGCCUGGUUCUCUCUCCCUGCCCUUUCUUUAGUUGAUUAUCCAUUCUGCCUUGGGUUCUAUGUAGAUCUUUUCACUUAAGCAAAGCUAAUGUAAUUGAGGACUACAAGUGGAACCUUCCUUUCCUGGUGGCAAUAAAGUUUUCAUUAUGAAUACCUCCUGGU